This 1244-nucleotide long non-coding RNA is filed under the name Fukomys damarensis (Damara mole-rat). RNAcentral describes it as "lncRNA (ENSFDAG00000022994.1)". The record is from RNAcentral. Lineage: Eukaryota; Metazoa; Chordata; Mammalia; Rodentia; Bathyergidae.
AUGUCUAAGAAGAAUCUGAAGUGCCAAUUUCUGUUUCGAUGGAGUAGUUGUGUCUGCCCUGCAGUGCUGGCCUGCAUGGCCCUGCAGACAGCUGAUUCUUCUCCAAAUCAAAUCAAUUGGCUGUCACGACAUCACCACUGCCAUCAACAGUCUCCUCUGUCACAUGCUCAUGCUCACACGGAUCUCUUUAGACUCACGGAUGCAUCACAACGACCACACGACCCUAACUGCUGUAGGCACAGGAGAUGCACACGGAGUGAGCUCCACCUAGCUACUGCUGUUCUAGUUCCAUCCUCCUGCCGUGCCAGGACCCAUGACUUCUUUUUUGUUGUGGUGGUUAUUUUUUGUUUCGUUUUUUGUUUUUGGUACCGGGGAUCGAAUUCGGGACCUUGCGCUUGCGAGGCAGGCGGCGGAACCACGGAGCUGAACCCCGGGCACCCCAUGACUUCGUCUUAACCAGCAGAACACGACGUGACACUCCCUUUAUUACGUUACUUCAUAUGGAAAAGGUUAAGUGUGUUCUGUAAGUGUCAUCAUUAUACUGAAUCUACUCAUUUCAAAUUAACACAAAGACAGAUCACCCUGCUGGAUCUUAGAGCACUUCAAAGAAUGGCUGGAACUUUCCUCACGACGACUAUUCUCCCUUGCUCUGAAGAAGCCCUCCACCAUUAGCUCUGCAGCUGCAAAUAAUACUGAACUCAGACUCUAGCCUGAGGUUGACUAGAUCCCUGGCCAAGUCUCCCGGGUGAUACCGAAGCUCAGCCGACAUUUACCUUGCAGCUGAUCAAGAGACCCAGCUGAGCCACGCCUGGCUCGCAGAAACUGCUGAACUACACACGCAUCUUGCUUUACACCAAGUGAGUUUGCGGUAAUUUGUUACAGGUAAGUGAAAAACUAGCGCAACAGCAAUGAUCGUGUGUAGAAGGGUCCUUGACCUGAGUUUUCUUUUCCAGUCAUGCCCGUGUUAGUUGCCAGUCUCUGUGCUUCUGUGUAAAUUACAGAAUCUACUUGAAAAGUUAUCAGUAGACAGUAGUGGUAUGUUUAUCACAAUAUGUUAUUUGUCUUCGUGUAGUUCAUUGUGGCUACCUGAAAGUAGGGCACUUAAGAGACAGUCUUUGUCCUCCUGAAAUUUUACCUAUUUCAAUUCAUAUAUCUUACAACGAAAAACUGAAUUUCUUCCAAAAAGUCUUAGGUCAUCUUUUGUUAGAUUUAAUUCUUGAUAAAAUGUAUAUUUUUAAUGCUCA